UCUUCCAUCAAAGCUCUUUCCUUUCUCUCUUCCCAUCAAGCCAACACCUCAGUUUUUCACCAAGCUGCUGUCCCCAUCUCUCUUUCUUUCUUCUUCAUAAGUCUAAAGGAGGUACUAAACCUAGCACGAUACUAUAUUCCUUCAUAGAUCCAUUCUUAACAUUUCAAAAAGUCUAGGGGAGGUCCUAACCCUAGCAUACC
This 200-nucleotide long non-coding RNA is filed under the name Elaeis guineensis (African oil palm). Its description in RNAcentral is "long non-coding RNA (EGUI_LNC033148)". The record is from RNAcentral. Lineage: Eukaryota; Viridiplantae; Streptophyta; Magnoliopsida; Arecales; Arecaceae.